RNAcentral lists this ribosomal RNA (490 nucleotides) under uncultured bacterium. Its description in RNAcentral is "bacterial SSU rRNA". It matches the Rfam family "Bacterial small subunit ribosomal RNA", at positions 355 to 846 of the family's 1533-position model. The record is from RNAcentral.
UAAGGAAUAUUGGUCAAUGGACGAAAGUCUGAACCAGCCAUGCCGCGUGGAGGAUGAAGGUCCUCUGGAUUGUAAACUUCUUUUAUCUGGGACGAAAAAGGGAAUUCUUUCUCGUCUGACGGUACCAGAUGAAUAAGCACCGGCUAACUCCGUGCCAGCAGCCGCGGUAAUACGGAGGGUGCAAGCGUUAUCCGGAUUCACUGGGUUUAAAGGGUGCGUAGGUGGGUUGGUAAGUCAGUGGUGAAAUCCCCGAGCUUAACUUGGGAACUGCCAUUGAUACUAUCAGUCUUGAAUACCGUGGAGGUCAGCGGAAUAUGUCAUGUAGCGGUGAAAUGCUUAGAUAUGACAUAGAACACCAAUUGCGAAGGCAGCUGGCUACACGAAUAUUGACACUCAGGCACGAAAGCGUGGGGAUCAAACAGGAUUAGAUACCCUGGUAGUCCACGCCCUAAACUAUGGAUACUCGACAUACGCGAUACACUGUGUGUGU